Molecule: ribosomal RNA, 254 nt
Filed under: uncultured bacterium
Lineage: Bacteria
Description: partial 16S ribosomal RNA
Rfam family: Bacterial small subunit ribosomal RNA
Source: RNAcentral
CACGUAGGGUGCGAGCGUUGUCCGGAAUUAUUGGGCGUAAAGAGCUCGUAGGCGGUGUGUCGCGUCGGCCGUGAAAACCUGCAGCUUAACUGUGGGCUUGCGGUCGAUACGGACAUCACUGGAGUUCGGCAGGGGAGACUGGAAUUCCUGGCGUAGCGGUGAAAUGCGCAGAUAUCAGGAGGAACACCGGUGGCGAAGGCGGGUCUCUGGGCCGAUACUGACGCUGAGGAGCGAAAGCGUGGGGAGCGAACAGG